CGGCGGACGGGUGAGUAAUGCCUAGGAAUCUGCCUGGUAUGGGGGACAACGUUUCGAAAGGAACGCUAAUACCGCAUACGUCCUACGGGAGAAAGCAGGGACCUUCGGGCCUUGCGCUAUCAGAUGAGCCUAGGUCGGAUUAGCUAGUUGGUGAGGUAAUGGCUCACCAAGGCGACGAUCCGUAACUGGUCUGAGAGGAUUAUCAGUCACACUGGAACUGAGACACGGUCCAGACUCCUACGGGAGGCAGCAGCC
Molecule: ribosomal RNA, 255 nt
Filed under: uncultured Pseudomonas sp.
Lineage: Bacteria; Pseudomonadati; Pseudomonadota; Gammaproteobacteria; Pseudomonadales; Pseudomonadaceae
Description: partial 16S ribosomal RNA
Rfam family: Bacterial small subunit ribosomal RNA
Source: RNAcentral